CUGGGGAGCCUGCUUCCUCCUCUCUCUUUCUCUCUCUCUCUCCCUGCCUCUCUGCCUAACUGUGAUCUCUCUCUGUCAAAUAAAUAAAUAAAAUCUUUUAAAAAAAAGAUUUUACUUUUCUGACAGAGAGAUAUAGAGAGUGCCGGUAGGCAGAGCAGCAAGCGGAGGUAGAAGGAGAAUCAGGCUCCCCGCUGAGCAGGGAGCCUUAUGUGGGGCUCAAUAUCAGGACCCUGGGAUCAUGACCUGAGCUGAAGGCAGAAACUUAACCGACUAAACUACCCAGGCACCCCAUAGUGUGGUAUUUCUGAAUGACAGUUUGACCACGAUAGUUUGUCAUGGUCAUCAAAGAUCCCAAAAGCAAAAACUCUCUUCCUGGCACCGCCUCAGUCAGCCAUGAUUUCAAUGACUUCAAUUUCCCCAUAGUGUUCAGAAUAAUCUCUUAAGUGAUGUUCUUCAGUGUCUUCUCUAAUGUCACCAACAAAAAAUCUUUUUCCACAGGUAAGUGGGCACCAGGUCUUUGAGAAUCUUCUCUUUGGUUCCACAACUCUCCAAUCCACCUGCCCCCUGAAGCACUUAGUGUUUGGCUCGCUCAUUACACCACAUAGUCCGUGAGCUUUCUGCAUUGCUCAAAAUGGCUCCUCAGACUCAUCAGCUGUUUGAAAGCUCCCAUGAAGAACUCUGCAGCUGCUCAGAAUCUUUGGGAGACUGACUUCAACAUGCCAGCAGGAGGAGAAACUUGAACAGUGCUUACUUGCCAGCAUUCACAGAGAGAGAGCUGGAGCACACAAGCAGGGGGAGCAGCAAAGGAAGAGGAAGAAGCAGGCUCCCAGCUGAGCCCUGUGCCCAAUGCGGGACUUGAUCCCAGGCAAUUGCUUAACCAACUGAGCCACUUAGGGACCUGGGAGGUUGCAUUUUCCUGGUGGAGAAGAGAUUUGGCUUGGCUGCCUCAUUCACAUCCCUUUGGAAUGACAUCUAUUUAUACAUUGUCAGCGUCUCUGAAAGAAAGGCACUGGCUGCCUCUCCCCCUCCGGAUAUAGAAGCAGCUGUUUUUCCUUGCUGAAGAAGGGCCAGCAAAUUCAAGCGCUGAUGGGCAGGGAGCAUGUUUUAAAAUUUGGGACUAUCUUUUACUCAAACCAUUCAGUUAUCCAUUUCUUUCUUUCUUUUCCUGAGCCAGCCGGGAGCCCCCAUAAUGUACUUUAAUACAUUGAGAUUAAUACAUAUAGACUUGUUGAAUCACUGUGUUGUACUCCUGAAACUAAUGUAAUGUGUGAAUCAUUCUUCAAUUUAAAACAAUUAUUUUUUAAAUAUAUUUUUUAAAAUAAAAAGUAUUUGGGGGUUGCCUGACUGGCUCAGUGGGUGGAGCAUGUGAUUCUUGAUCUCAGGGUUGUAAGUUC
This 1394-nucleotide long non-coding RNA is filed under the name Mustela putorius furo (domestic ferret). RNAcentral's name for it is "lncRNA (ENSMPUG00000026431.1)". The record is from RNAcentral. Lineage: Eukaryota; Metazoa; Chordata; Mammalia; Carnivora; Mustelidae.